UACGGAGGGUGCAAGCGUUAUCCGGAUUCACUGGGUUUAAAGCGUGUGUAGGUGGAUGCCUAAGUACCUUGUGAAAUCCCACAGCUUAACUGUGGAACUGCUUGGUAUACUGGGUGUCUUGAGUCACUCAGGGGCGAGCGGAACAAAUGGUGGAGCGGUGAAAUGCGUAGAUAUCAUUUGGAACGCCAAUGGUGAAAACAGCUCGCUGGGGGUGCACUGACACUGAGACACGAAAGCCAGGGGAGCGAACGGG
Molecule: ribosomal RNA, 253 nt
Filed under: uncultured bacterium
Lineage: Bacteria
Description: partial 16S ribosomal RNA
Rfam family: Bacterial small subunit ribosomal RNA
Source: RNAcentral